This 292-nucleotide ribosomal RNA is filed under the name uncultured bacterium. RNAcentral's name for it is "partial 16S ribosomal RNA". It matches the Rfam family "Bacterial small subunit ribosomal RNA", at positions 505 to 796 of the family's 1533-position model. The record is from RNAcentral.
GUGCCAGCCGCCGCGGUAAGACAGAGGCCUCGAGCGUUAGGCGGAAUCACUGGGCUUAAAGCGUGUGUAGGCGGAUCGUUAAGUGCCUUGUGAAAUCCCACGGCUUAACUGUGGAACGGCUGGGCAUACUGGCGGUCUUGAGCCAUCUAGGGGCGACUGGAACAAACGGUGGAGCGGUGAAAUGCGUAGAUAUCGUUUGGAACGCCAAUGGUGAAAACAGGUCGCUGGGGAUGAGCUGACGCUGAGACACGAAAGCCAGGGGAGCAAACGGGAUUAGAAACCCGCGUAGUCC